RNAcentral lists this transfer RNA (76 nucleotides) under Candidatus Fervidibacter japonicus. Its description in RNAcentral is "bacterium HR17 tRNA-Gln". It matches the Rfam family "tRNA". Rfam says of the family: Transfer RNA (tRNA) molecules are approximately 80 nucleotides in length. Their secondary structure includes four short double-helical elements and three loops (D, anti-codon, and T loops). The record is from RNAcentral. Lineage: Bacteria; Candidatus Fervidibacterota; Fervidibacteria; Fervidibacterales; Fervidibacteraceae.
UGGGGCGUGGUGCAGCUGGUAGCACGCGGGACUCUGGAUCCCGAGGUCCCUGGUUCGAAGCCAGGCGCCCCAGCCA